Non-coding RNA from Gracilariopsis chorda, 100 nucleotides. The record is from the annotation of a GenBank genome assembly. Lineage: Eukaryota; Rhodophyta; Florideophyceae; Gracilariales; Gracilariaceae.
GUCAACGUGGCCGAGUGGUUAAGGCGCGACACUCGAAUCACGUACUCGACGAUGCUAUGUCGUCUCUUCGGAGGCGCAGGUUCGAAUCCUGCCGUUGACG